Molecule: ribosomal RNA, 206 nt
Filed under: uncultured bacterium
Lineage: Bacteria
Description: partial 16S ribosomal RNA
Rfam family: Bacterial small subunit ribosomal RNA
Source: RNAcentral
UACAGAGGUCGUCAAGCGUUGUUCGGAUUCAUUGGGCGUAAAGGGUGCGUAGGCGGCGCGGUAAGUCGGGUGUGAAAUCUCGGAGCUUAACUCCGAAACUGCAUUCGAUACUGCCGGUGCUUGAGGACUGGAGAGGAGACUGGAAUUUACGGUGAGCGGUGAAAUGCGUAGAUAUCGUAAGGAAGACCAGUGGCGAAGGCGGGUCU